GACGAACGCUGGCGGCGUGCCUAAUACAUGCAAGUUGAGCGAUGAAGAUUGGUGCUUGCCCCAAUUUGAAGAGCAGCGAACGGGUGAGUAACGCGUGGGGAAUCUGCCUUUGAGCGGGGGACAACAUUUGGAAACGAAUGCUAAUACCGCAUAACAACUUUAAACAUAAGUUUUAAGUUUGAAAGAUGCAAUUGCAUCACUCAAAGAUGAUCCCGCGUUGUAUUAGCUAGUUGGUGAGGUAAAGGCUCACCAAGGCGAUGAUACAUAGCCGACCUGAGAGGGUGAUCGGCCACAUUGGGACUGGGACACGGCCCAAACUCCUACGGGAGGCAGCAGUAGGGAAUCUUCGGCAAUGGACGAAAGUCUGACCGAGCAACGCCGCGUGAGUGAAGAAGGUUUUCGGAUCGUAAAACUCUGUUGGUAGAGAAGAACGUUGGUGAGAGUGGAAAGCUCAUCAAGUGACGGUAACUACCCAGAAAGGGACGGCUAACUACGUG
Molecule: ribosomal RNA, 497 nt
Filed under: uncultured bacterium
Lineage: Bacteria
Description: partial 16S ribosomal RNA
Rfam family: Bacterial small subunit ribosomal RNA
Source: RNAcentral